Molecule: ribosomal RNA, 732 nt
Filed under: Staphylococcus aureus
Lineage: Bacteria; Bacillati; Bacillota; Bacilli; Caryophanales; Staphylococcaceae
Description: partial 23S ribosomal RNA
Rfam family: Bacterial large subunit ribosomal RNA
Source: RNAcentral
GGUGAAAAGCACCCCGGAAGGGGAGUGAAAUAGAACCUGAAACCGUGUGCUUACAAGUAGUCAGAGCCCGUUAAUGGGUGAUGGCGUGCCUUUUGUAGAAUGAACCGGCGAGUUACGAUUUGAUGCAAGGUUAAGCAGUAAAUGUGGAGCCGUAGCGAAAGCGAGUCUGAAUAGGGCGUUUAGUAUUUGGUCGUAGACCCGAAACCAGGUGAUCUACCCUUGGUCAGGUUGAAGUUCAGGUAACACUGAAUGGAGGACCGAACCGACUUACGUUGAAAAGUGAGCGGAUGAACUGAGGGUAGCGGAGAAAUUCCAAUCGAACCUGGAGAUAGCUGGUUCUCUCCGAAAUAGCUUUAGGGCUAGCCUCAAGUGAUGAUUAUUGGAGGUAGAGCACUGUUUGGACGAGGGGCCCCUCUCGGGUUACCGAAUUCAGACAAACUCCGAAUGCCAAUUAAUUUAACUUGGGAGUCAGAACAUGGGUGAUAAGGUCCGUGUUCGAAAGGGAAACAGCCCAGACCACCAGCUAAGGUCCCAAAAUAUAUGUUAAGUGGAAAAGGAUGUGGCGUUGCCCAGACAACUAGGAUGUUGGCUUAGAAGCAGCCAUCAUUUAAAGAGUGCGUAAUAGCUCACUAGUCGAGUGACACUGCGCCGAAAAUGUACCGGGGCUAAACAUAUUACCGAAGCUGUGGAUUGUCCUUUGGACAAUGGUAGGAGAGCGUUCUAAGGGCGUUG